GAGGGUAUAGCUCAAAGUGGUAGAGCACAUGCUUAGCAUGCCGAGAGGUCCCGGGUUCAAUCCCCAGUACCUCCU
RNAcentral lists this transfer RNA (75 nucleotides) under Camelus bactrianus (Bactrian camel). It matches the Rfam family "tRNA". Rfam says of the family: Transfer RNA (tRNA) molecules are approximately 80 nucleotides in length. Their secondary structure includes four short double-helical elements and three loops (D, anti-codon, and T loops). The record is from Rfam by way of RNAcentral. RNAcentral also lists the same sequence under 2 other names. Lineage: Eukaryota; Metazoa; Chordata; Mammalia; Artiodactyla; Camelidae.